This 497-nucleotide ribosomal RNA is filed under the name uncultured bacterium. Its description in RNAcentral is "partial 16S ribosomal RNA". It matches the Rfam family "Bacterial small subunit ribosomal RNA", at positions 28 to 507 of the family's 1533-position model. The record is from RNAcentral.
GAUGAACGCUGGCGGCGUGCCUAAUACAUGCAAGUCGAGCGAACAGAUGAGGAGCUUGCUCCUCUGACGUUAGCGGCGGACGGGUGAGUAACACGUGGAUAACCUACCUAUAAGACUGGGAUAACUUCGGGAAACCGGAGCUAAUACCGGAUAAUAUAUUGAACCGCAUGGUUCAAUAGUGAAAGACGGUUUUGCUGUCACUUAUAGAUGGAUCCGCGCCGCAUUAGCUAGUUGGUAAGGUAACGGCUUACCAAGGCAACGAUGCGUAGCCGACCUGAGAGGGUGAUCGGCCACACUGGAACUGAGACACGGUCCAGACUCCUACGGGAGGCAGCAGUAGGGAAUCUUCCGCAGUGGGCGAAAGCCUGACGGAGCAACGCCGCGUGAGUGAUGAAGGUCUUCGGAUCGUAAAACUCGGUUAUUAGGGAAGAACAAAUGUGUAAGUAACUAUGCACGUCUUGACGGUACCUAAUCAGAAAGCCACGGCUAACUACGUG